This 602-nucleotide ribosomal RNA is filed under the name Cicindela (Rivacindela) sp. JP-53a. RNAcentral describes it as "partial 16S ribosomal RNA". It matches the Rfam family "Bacterial large subunit ribosomal RNA", at positions 1844 to 2726 of the family's 2925-position model. RNAcentral also lists the same sequence under 1 other name. The record is from RNAcentral. Lineage: Eukaryota; Metazoa; Arthropoda; Insecta; Coleoptera; Carabidae.
UUUAAGGUCUAACCUGCCCAAUGAGGAUUUAAAUGGCCGCAGUAUUUUGACUGUGCAAAGGUAGCAUAAUUAUUAGUUUUUUAAUUGAAAGCUUGUAUGAAGGGUUGGACGAGAUAAAAUCUGUCUUUAUUUAAAUUAAAGUAUAAUUUAACUUUUAAGUCAAAAGGCUUAAAUGUUUAUAAAAGACGAGAAGACCCUAUAGAUCUUUAUUUAGUUAAGAUUUUAAUAAUUUAGGAUUAUUUUAAUUUGGAGUUUUAAUUAAAUUUUAUUGGGGUAAUAUAAAGAUUAAAUUAAUUCUUUUUAUUUAUGACAUUAAUUUAUGAAUAUGUGAUCCAUUAAUAUUGAUUAUAAGAUUAAGUUACCUUAGGGAUAACAGCGUAAUUUUUUUGGAGAGCUCAUAUCGAUAAGAAAGUUUGCGACCUCGAUGUUGGAUUAAAAAUUAGCUUGGGUGCAGAAGCUCAAGAUUUUGGUCUGUUCGACCAUUAAAUUUUUACAUGAUCUGAGUUCAGACCGGCGUAAGCCAGGUCGGUUUCUAUCUUUAUUUAGAUAAAAUAUUUUAGUACGAAAGGACCAAGUAUUUAAUAUAAUUAUAUUUAUUUUUU